CAGCCGCCGCGGUAAUACGAAGGGUGCAAGCGUUAAUCGGAAUUACUGGGCGUAAAGCGUGCGUAGGCGGUGAGUUAAGUCUGCUGUGAAAUCCCCGGGCUCAACCUGGGAAUGGCAGUGGAUACUGGCUCGCUAGAGUGUGUCAGAGGAUAGUGGAAUUCCCGGUGUAGCGGUGAAAUGCGUAGAGAUCGGGAGGAACAUCAGUGGCGAAGGCGGCCAUCUGGGACAACACUGACGCUGAGGCACGAAAGCGUGGGGAGCAAACAGGAUUAGAUACCCGCGUAGUCCCUGUCUCUUAUAC
RNAcentral lists this ribosomal RNA (301 nucleotides) under uncultured bacterium. RNAcentral's name for it is "partial 16S ribosomal RNA". It matches the Rfam family "Bacterial small subunit ribosomal RNA", at positions 509 to 807 of the family's 1533-position model. The record is from RNAcentral.